RNAcentral lists this long non-coding RNA (632 nucleotides) under Suricata suricatta (meerkat). RNAcentral's name for it is "lncRNA (ENSSSUG00005007874.1)". The record is from RNAcentral. Lineage: Eukaryota; Metazoa; Chordata; Mammalia; Carnivora; Herpestidae.
CUAACUGACUGAGCCACCCAGGAGCCCCUCAAUGUAUGCAUUUAGAGUUCACAGAGCUUCUUCAGUUUUAAUCUCAUUUGAGAAUUUUUAAAAAAUGUAAAGGGAAAUAUUAGCUUCAUUUUAUAGAUGAUGAAAACCAAAGCCCAGAGAUUUGGACUGUUUAAAGUUGCAGCAGAUUAAAGCCCAGUGAUCCAAGGAACUCAAUAUGGAUUCACUGGCUAAAGAUUUUUCCUUUAAAAACAUGUAAUGAGAAGACAGAGCUGGAUCUUCUUAGCACCCAUCCAUUUUGGAGAUUGGUGGUAGACUAUGGAUGGCAUAAAAAGAUAGUACCCAGAAUGCAAAUGUCUUAUUGCUUGUGACCACAAGAUAUCAACAGCAGGACCAUUUCCUUCUCUUGACACUAGAAAUAGCUUCAUCAAAUGAGGAAUUACUCAGCCUCCUGCGGGUGCCCUUUUCUGAAGCUAACAUCCUACUCAUCAUUUGAACCCUAGUAGAAGCUACAAUCCUAUUCAAUCUAAUUUCAAAAUACUGAUACCAGCUCUAUCACUUUAUUUUCUCCCUUUAAAGUCUGUGUUGUCUCUUUCCUGUAUUUUAUUAAUUGUGACACCAAUCAAGGCAUAUAGGAGUGGGGG